UAGCACAGAGCUGCCUUGGGUC
RNAcentral lists this unclassified non-coding RNA (22 nucleotides) under Mus musculus (house mouse). Its description in RNAcentral is "oocyte_clustered_small_RNA241". Lineage: Eukaryota; Metazoa; Chordata; Mammalia; Rodentia; Muridae. The record is from RNAcentral.